AUUGCUCAGUAACACGUGGACAACCUGCCCUGAGGACUGGAAUAAUCCCGGGAAACUGGGGGUAAUUCCAGAUAUGUCAGAACUCCUGGAAUGGGUUCUGGCAGAAAGGCUCCGGCGCCUCAGGAUGGGUCUGCGGCCUAUCAGGGUAGUAGUGGGUGUAACGUACCUACUAGCCUACGACGGGUACGGGUUGUGAGAGCAAGAGCCCGGAGAUGGAUUCUGAGACAUGAAUCCAGGCCCUACGGGGUGCAGCAGGCGCGAAAACUUUACAAUGCGGGCAACCGCGAUAAGGGGACCUCGAGUGCUGGGUUACAAACCUGGCUGUUGGGCUGCCUAAAAAGCAGUCUAUAGCAAGGGCCGGGCAAGACCGGUGCCAGCCGCCGCGGUAACACCGGCGGCUCGAGUGGUAACCGCUGUUAUUGGGUCUAAAGGGUCUGUAGCCUGCCGGCUAAGUCUCUUGGGAAAUCUGGCAUCUCAAGUGUCAGGCUGCCAGGGGAUACUGGUCAGCUUGGGACCGGGAGAGGUGAGUGGUACCUCAGGGGUAGGGGUGAAAUCUUGUAAUCCUUGAGGGACCACCAGUGGCGAAGGCGUCUCACCAGAACGGAUCCAACGGCAAGGGACGAAAGCUAGGGGCACGAACCGGAUUAGAUACCCGGGUAGUCCUAGCCGUAAACGAUACUCGCUAGGUGUCGGCCACGGUGCGACCGUGGUCGGUGCCGUAGGGAAGCCGUGAAGCGAGCCACCUGGGAAGUACGGCCGCAAGGCUGAAACUUAAAGGAAUUGGCGGGGG
RNAcentral lists this ribosomal RNA (790 nucleotides) under uncultured Methanosaeta sp. RNAcentral describes it as "bacterial SSU rRNA". It matches the Rfam family "Archaeal small subunit ribosomal RNA", at positions 85 to 874 of the family's 1478-position model. The record is from RNAcentral. Lineage: Archaea; Methanobacteriati; Methanobacteriota; Methanomicrobia; Methanotrichales; Methanotrichaceae.